AACUCCGGGAAACCGGGGCUAAUACCGGAUGGUUGUUUGAACCGCAUGGUUCAGACAUAAAAGGUGGCUUCGGCUACCACUUACAGAUGGACCCGCGGCGCAUUAGCUAGUUGGUGAGGUAACGGCUCACCAAGGCGACGAUGCGUAGCCGACCUGAGAGGGUGAUCGGCCACACUGGGACUGAGACACGGCCCAGACUCCUACGGGAGGCAGCAGUAGGGAAUCUUCCGCAAUGGACGAAAGUCUGACGGAGCAACGCCGCGUGAGUGAUGAAGGUUUUCGGAUCGUAAAGCUCUGUUGUUAGGGAAGAACAAGUGCCGUUCAAAUAGGGCGGCACCUUGACGGUACCUAACCAGAAAGCCACGGCUAACUACGUGCCAGCAGCCGCGGUAAUACGUAGGUGGCAAGCGUUGUCCGGAAUUAUUGGGCGUAAAGGGCUCGCAGGCGGUUUCUUAAGUCUGAUGUGAAAGCCCCCGGCUCAACCGGGGAGGGUCAUUGGAAACUGGGGAACUUGAGUGCAGAAGAGGAGAGUGGAAUUCCACGUGUAGCGGUGAAAUGCGUAGAGAUGUGGAGGAACACCAGUGGCGAAGGCGACUCUCUGGUCUGUAACUGACGCUGAGGAGCGAAAGCGUGGGGAGCGAACAGGAUUAGAUACCCUGGUAGUCCACGCCGUAAACGAUGAGUGCUAAGUGUUAGGGGGUUUCCGCCCCUUAGUGCUGCAGCUAACGCAUUAAGCACUCCGCCUGGGGAGUACGGUCGCAAGACUGAAACUCAAAGGAAUUGACGGGGGCCCGCACAAGCGGUGGAGCAUGUGGUUUAAUUCGAAGCAACGCGAAGAACCUUACCAGGUCUUGACAUCCUCUGACAAUCCUAGAGAUAGGACGUCCCCUUCGGGGGCAGAGUGACAGGUGGUGCAUGGUUGUCGUCAGCUCGUGUCGUGAGAUGUUGGGUUAAGUCCCGCAACGAGCGCAACCCUUGAUCUUAGUUGCCAGCAUUCAGUUGGGCACUCUAAGGUGACUGCCGGUGACAAACCGGAGGAAGGUGGGGAUGACGUCAAAUCAUCAUGCCCCUUAUGACCUGGGCUACACACGUGCUACAAUGGACAGAACAAAGGGCAGCGAAACCGCGAGGUUAAGCCAAUCCCACAAAUCUGUUCUCAGUUCGGAUCGCAGUCUGCAACUCGACUGCGUG
Molecule: ribosomal RNA, 1191 nt
Filed under: uncultured Bacillus sp.
Lineage: Bacteria; Bacillati; Bacillota; Bacilli; Caryophanales; Bacillaceae
Description: bacterial SSU rRNA
Rfam family: Bacterial small subunit ribosomal RNA
Source: RNAcentral